Molecule: transfer RNA, 68 nt
Filed under: Leiolepis guttata (spotted butterfly lizard)
Lineage: Eukaryota; Metazoa; Chordata; Lepidosauria; Squamata; Agamidae
Description: tRNA-Pro
Source: RNAcentral
CAGAAGGUAGUUUAUUUGAAAAUGUUGGCUUUGGGGGCCAGUGAUGGGCUUGAUCUGUUCUCUUCUGA